Molecule: ribosomal RNA, 420 nt
Filed under: uncultured archaeon
Lineage: Archaea
Description: partial 16S ribosomal RNA
Rfam family: Archaeal small subunit ribosomal RNA
Source: RNAcentral
CUACGGGAGGCUGCAGUCGAGGAAAUUUUACAAUGCUCGAAAGAGUGAUAAAAUAAACCAGAGUGUUUCUCCUAGAGAAACUUUUAUCUACUGUAAAAAGGUAGAUGAAUAAGGACUGGGCAAGACCGGUGCCAGCCGCCGCGGUAAUACCGGCGGUCCAAGUUGCAUCCACAUUUAUUGGGUCUAAAACAUCUGUAGCUUGUUUUACAAGUCUCUUGUGAAAUCUCAUAUCUCAAGUAUGAGGCGUGCAAGAGAUACUGUAUUACUAGAGACCGGGAGACGCAAAGAGUAUGAUUAAGGUAGCGGUAAAAUGUGUUAAUCUUAAUCAGACUAACAAUGGCGAAGGCACUUUGCGAGCACGGAUCUGACAGUAAGGGAUGAAGGCUAGGGGCGCAAAAGGGAUUAGAUACCCCAGUAGUC